Molecule: ribosomal RNA, 447 nt
Filed under: uncultured bacterium
Lineage: Bacteria
Description: partial 16S ribosomal RNA
Rfam family: Bacterial small subunit ribosomal RNA
Source: RNAcentral
AACGAACGCUGGCGGCAGGCUUAACACAUGCAAGUCGAACGCCCCGCAAGGGGAGUGGCAGACGGGUGAGUAACGCGUGGGAAUCUACCCAUCUCUACGGAACAACUCCGGGAAACUGGAGCUAAUACCGUAUACGCCCUUAGGGGGAAAGAUUUAUCGGGGAUGGAUGAGCCCGCGUUGGAUUAGCUAGUUGGUGGGGUAAAGGCCUACCAAGGCGACGAUCCAUAGCUGGUCUGAGAGGAUGAUCAGCCACAUUGGGACUGAGACACGGCCCAAACUCCUACGGGAGGCAGCAGUGGGGAAUAUUGGACAAUGGGCGCAAGCCUGAUCCAGCCAUGCCGCGUGAGUGAUGAAGGCCUUAGGGUUGUAAAGCUCUUUCACCGAUGAAGAUAAUGACGGUAGUCGGAGAAGAAGCCCCGGCUAACUUCGUGCCAGCCGCCGCCGUAA